RNAcentral lists this long non-coding RNA (785 nucleotides) under Mytilus galloprovincialis (Mediterranean mussel). Lineage: Eukaryota; Metazoa; Mollusca; Bivalvia; Mytilida; Mytilidae. The record is from RNAcentral.
GUCUGUUUAUUUAGGUAACACUCUAUGUACUACCGAUAUGAUUUAUCAUAUAUCAGCUGGAACAUUGACAAACACAAAUAUUUCAAAUUAAUAACUAAUGUACUGUGUAAUUUGUCAGUGGACUGUUAAACAAUUUAGUGAGAGAUAUUUGUUGUUUUAAUGAAGUUUCUGUGUGAUGUAUUUAUGCUUUUAGACCACCAGAAAUGAAAUACAAUAUGAAAUCAACGACACAAGACAUUAAGAUUAUGGCGUGAAGUAGGUUACACUGCACUUAAAAUACCAUUGAAAAUAUAGACUAUUUGUUCUCAAAAGAUGAUUACACGGGAAAUAGAAUAUUCGCAAACAAUAACGGGUAAUAAACUUGAUAGUUUUUAAGACCAGUUGUUACUUUCAAAUUUUUUUAUUACGAAUUUGGUCAUAGUAAAACUUCGAAACUACACGUAUCAUAAAAUACUGAACUUUCAAUAGUAUUUUUAAGCGUGGUGUAAUGACCAAACAGCUGCUGAAUACCGACCCUUUUCAUCAAAUAAAACCAUUUGUUUAUGACUACCAAUGAAUGCUUUAGGCAUUAUUUUAAAUUGCGUGCAGUAGUUUGUGAGAUAUUGAUAAAUAUCAUAAUUAUUAUCUCUUUACAGAUUUUCAACGGUCAAUCGGUCAACAAUAUUCACAUAUCAUAAUUACACAAAAUAAUUUGUAAUAUUGCAAUUUUACCUAAUGCAAUGUUGCAAUUAAAUCUAAAUAUAGGAAUAACCGUAUGGAUGUCUCAUUUGGAGUUAAUGUUAAUG